AGGACGAACGCUGGCGGCGUGCUUAACACAUGCAAGUCGAGCGGUAAGGCCUUUCGGGGUACACGAGCGGCGAACGGGUGAGUAACACGUGGGUGAUCUGCCCUGCACUUCGGGAUAAGCCUGGGAAACUGGGUCUAAUACCGGAUAUGACCUCCUAUCGCAUGGUGGGUGGUGGAAAGAUUUAUCGGUGCAGGAUGGGCCCGCGGCCUAUCAGCUUGUUGGUGGGGUAAUGGCCUACCAAGGCGACGACGGGUAGCCGACCUGAGAGGGUGACCGGCCACACUGGGACUGAGACACGGCCCAGACUCCUACGGGAGGCAGCAGUGGGGAAUAUUGCACAAUGGGCGAAAGCCUGAUGCAGCGACGCCGCGUGAGGAUGACGGCCUUGGUUGUAACUCUUCUAGCAGGACGAAGCGCAAGUGACGUACGUGCGAGAAAGAAGCGAACCGGACCUAAACGUAACGUACGACCGAACGACGACGACCGGC
RNAcentral lists this ribosomal RNA (488 nucleotides) under uncultured soil bacterium. Its description in RNAcentral is "bacterial SSU rRNA". It matches the Rfam family "Bacterial small subunit ribosomal RNA", at positions 26 to 497 of the family's 1533-position model. The record is from RNAcentral.